AUAACUUUACCACUCCGAGCAACACGUUUACAGGACGGUAUCCUCCAUCUAUACCUGAAACCUCAUCUGCGAGAGAAGAAAAAGGCUUUCAUCACAUUUAAAAGUAACAGCAGAUUGACCAGUAGGUUGUGCCUGCACCGCUUUGUCCUCCACCAUGUCAUCCAGCACUACACCACAUUUCUU
Molecule: long non-coding RNA, 183 nt
Organism: Helicoverpa zea (corn earworm)
Lineage: Eukaryota; Metazoa; Arthropoda; Insecta; Lepidoptera; Noctuidae
Exons: 3
Source: RefSeq, a predicted model, not a curated record